RNAcentral lists this long non-coding RNA (1341 nucleotides) under Homo sapiens (human). RNAcentral's name for it is "non-protein coding lnc-IMPA1-3:1". Lineage: Eukaryota; Metazoa; Chordata; Mammalia; Primates; Hominidae. The record is from RNAcentral.
AUGAGAAUAAAGGGUAGUAUUUACGAGAAAAUGAGAGAGAGUAAAUCAUAUCUAACCUCCUCCAGCCUUUUUUUUUUUUUUUUUCAUAAGAGACCAAAUAAAACUUACGCACUCUCCUAGCUGUGAUUGCCCUUCAGUUACAGAGACUGAGAGCGGAGGGAGACCAGGUCUGAGAUAACAAAGCAACUCAUUCCUUGAAGGACAUUCACACUGAUGUCCUAUUUUCAAACUAUUUGAAAAUUGCAUCAUUCUGCCUCCAGUACUGGCAGUUUCUCUGUUCUGUGAUCAAUGUGAUUCACAGGAACAUUUUGUUAAAUGAGCCGAGGGUGUGGAAAAUAUGACUUUUAUAUUGGUCUGGGAUUAGCUAUGAGCUCCAGCAUUUUCACUGGAGGUAGUUUCAUUUGGGGAGGGGAAAAAAAAAGGCUUUCUGCGACUUGCCAGAAAAGGUCCUCUGAGAGCAGGUCAAGGUGGCCACGCAUAUCCUAAAGAAUGGUUGUGGUGGGCUAGACUGCUGUCAAUGGCAGCUGGCGAGGUGGCCAACUCAGCUGCAUAUGGGUUUGCACCGGCCACACUGGUGACUCCACUAGGAACUCUCAGCGUCCUAGUAAGUGCUAUUCUUUCUUCAUACUUUCUAAAUGAAAGAUUUAAUCCUUACGGGAAAUUUGGAUGUUUGCUAAGUAUUUGAGGAUCUACAGUUACGAUCACUCAUCCUCCAAAAGAAGAGGAUAUUGAGACUAAAUAAAAUAUCUCACAAGCUAGGUGAUCCAGGUUUUGUGGACUUUGCAACACUUGUGGUCAUUAUGGCCAUGAUAUUAAUCUUCCUGGUGGGUCCCCACCAGGGACAACGAUCUUGUGUAUGUAGCAAUUUGCACAUUUGUGUAUGUAACAAAUUGGCACAUUUUCAGUCUCCUGGGUUAAGAGCCUAGGCAGUGCUAUCAGAGAGCUGUUUGCUGGAAAGCCUGCACUGCCACAUCCCCUGGCCUGUGUUCUGCUGCUAAGCCUCAUUGUCUGUGUGAACACAUAGAUUAAUUACCUAAAUUGCGCCCUGGAUAUAUUUAACACUUCCAUCAUGACUCCAAUACAUUACAUAUUCUUUACGACAUCAGUUUUUAAACUUGUUCAGCUAUUAUUUUUAAGGAGUGGCAAGAUAUGCCCAUUGAUGAUGUCACUGGUACUUUUGACUGGCUUUACAAUAAUCGUGGGGAUAUUCUUGUUGCAUGCUUUUAAGAGUGUCAGCUUUAGUCUAGCAAGUCUGCCUGUGUCUCUUCGAAAAGACAAAAAAGCAAUGAAUGGCAAUCUCUCUAAUAUGUAAGAAGUUCUUAAUAAUAAUGAAGAAAGCAA